UGAGGAAUAUUGCGCAAUGGGCGAAAGCCUGACGCAGCGACGCCGCGUGAACGAUGAAGUCUUUCGGGAUGUAAAGUUCUGUCAGCAGGGAAGAAAAUGACGGUACCUGCAGAGGAAGGCCCGGCUAAAUAUGUGCCAGCAGCCGCGGUAAUACAUAUGGGUCGAGCGUUGUCCGGAUUUAUUGGGCGUAAAGAGCACGUAGGCGGCUUCUUAAGUCAGAAUUUAAAGGCUGAGGCUUAACCUCAGUAUGAUUUUGAAACUGGGUUGCUAGAGAUUGAGAGAGGAAAGCGGAAUUAGCAGUGUAGCGGUGAAAUGCGUAGAUAUUGCUAAGAACACCCGUGGCGAAGGCGGCUUUCUGGCUCAAUUCUGACGCUGAGGUGCGAAAGCGUGGGGAGCAAACAGG
This 403-nucleotide ribosomal RNA is filed under the name uncultured bacterium. RNAcentral describes it as "bacterial SSU rRNA". It matches the Rfam family "Bacterial small subunit ribosomal RNA", at positions 355 to 776 of the family's 1533-position model. The record is from RNAcentral.